Molecule: long non-coding RNA, 657 nt
Organism: Drosophila sulfurigaster albostrigata
Lineage: Eukaryota; Metazoa; Arthropoda; Insecta; Diptera; Drosophilidae
Exons: 2
Source: RefSeq, a predicted model, not a curated record
CGGCGGUCGGACAAACUCAAAGUUAUUACGAAAUCGCAAUCGAAACAUAACGGUAGAUAGCAAAAGCAAUAUAUGCUUGUAAAAGUGUGUGUAAGUAUGAGAGAGUAGGCACAAUGAAAUUGAAACACAAAUAGAGCAAAGCCAGCAAAACGCAACACUAAAAUUUAUUGAACGCAUUCAGCAAUCAACAGCUCCCAUUGAUAAUACAAAUGGAAAUAAAUUUAGAAAUAACAACCGGUAAACCGAAGUUUGCCAGCUGAAUGCGUCCAUUUAAGUUUACGAUGCAGUGCAAAGCGCAGCGUCGACUGAGGCAGAAGCAGCGCGCUGCCCAAGCGAAUAUCAAGACAAUGGAGUAAAGCACAAAACAAGCGAAUAAGCGUAACUGGCAAACUGGGCAGCAGCAGUCAGAACAAAACUUGGCCGCAAAAUAGAAAAGAAAAGCCAAAGAACCAAAUGCCAGAGAAAAGAGUAGCAAGCAAAACUACACACAAACUCUCACACACACACACUCGGAUAUUCACAUACACGCAUGCACACAACACCAAGUAAAUGAAGUUCUUUUUUCUGCAGUUGAAACGAAGAGAGCAAGCGAGCGAGCAGCAGCUACAUUAAAUUUCAUUGCUCGUUGUUUCUCUCACUCUCAAUAAAUUCUUUUUU